RNAcentral lists this transfer-messenger RNA (346 nucleotides) under Pseudobdellovibrionaceae. Its description in RNAcentral is "BOLD01 sp016861345 Standard tmRNA". It matches the Rfam family "transfer-messenger RNA". From Rfam's summary of the family: Bacterial tmRNA, also known as 10Sa RNA or SsrA, is named for its dual tRNA and mRNA-like properties. The record is from RNAcentral. RNAcentral also lists the same sequence under 1 other name. Lineage: Bacteria; Pseudomonadati; Bdellovibrionota; Bdellovibrionia; Bdellovibrionales.
GGGGGCGACACGGCUUCGACGUGGGUGUUGAAACAUAAGGAGCAUUCCGGGGCGCAUGAGGACCUCGUUAAAAAUGUGCACUUUGUAAUUGGCAACGAUUACGCACUUGCAGCUUAAUUGACUGCACGAUCACCUGAGAUUUGGUUUCGUUCUUAGAUUGAUCGUCAUUUAGAAACCUCGGCCAUCUGGGUUUUCUCCAGCAGGAUGGCUUAAAUAAAGCUGGGGGAGUGAGUCGCCUGAUUUUGUUCGUGGAAGCUGGCGGCUCAAACUAAAACACGAACUAAGAAUGUAGUGCCUUAUCGCGGAUCGCUUGCGGACGGGGGUUCAAUUCCCCCCGCCUCCACCA